Molecule: long non-coding RNA, 781 nt
Filed under: Ornithorhynchus anatinus (platypus)
Lineage: Eukaryota; Metazoa; Chordata; Mammalia; Monotremata; Ornithorhynchidae
Description: lncRNA (ENSOANG00000037718.1)
Source: RNAcentral
UAUGCCAUAGAUGGCUGAGACCUGCUGCUGAUUGGAUUCCUGAAUUUCUGGUCCCAUUUGUCUCCUCCAGCACAAGCUGGGCCACUGGACCAAUUGCCCCCAGAAUUACUCCUCCGAACAGACACAUCAACCUCACUAUGGAGACUCAUUACAGUGAUUUUAGGAAGUUUCUGCCUUGUGCUCCUGGCAACAACAUGUGUCUUGACUACUCAGGUGCUCCAAGGAGCUUCUUCAAACAUCACCACCAACCAGACAGGACAUCACUGCAGUCCUUGUCCAGAGAACUGGAUCUUAUGUAGAAACAAUGCUACCUCUUUUCUAAAGAAAAAAGAAUGUGGAAUGAAAGUCAGCUAUCUGUCGAUCUCAUAAUUCCGGUCUCCUGAAGAUAGAGAACAAGGGAGAACUGGAUGUCUUGUUCUCAUUCAAAAUUAAUGGAUGGACCGGACUCUCCCGCAGUGGAAGAAAUCAACCUUGGAAGUGGUCCGAUGGCUCAGAUCUCUCCAAAGACCUGUAAGUUUGGGUUUCAGUAGGAUCUUCCUGCCCCAUGGAUUUGUUCCCAAACACUAUAAAGCCUCUCCAAAUGUGACCUAAUAGGGGAGGUGGCACGUGGCAGACCAGUUCCAGUUUAGAAGUUUGACUUUCUGAAGGGUGUUUUUAAAAUGUAGUUUAACUGCAGUGAAUCUCUCAACAUGAAAACCAAUUCAGCCUCACUGAGUUUCUGCUUUGUCCAGCCACAGGAAUCUUAGCUGUUUGAGGCUAGGAUCGGGUGUGUUCUCAGCGG